This is a long non-coding RNA of Priapulus caudatus, 715 nucleotides long. RefSeq lists it as uncharacterized. The record is from RefSeq and is a predicted model, not a curated record. NCBI's taxonomy places the organism in Eukaryota, Metazoa, Priapulida, Priapulimorpha, Priapulimorphida, Priapulidae. The transcript has 3 exons.
GGCCUGAAUGGUAUAUAAGGAGGAGCAUUUGUAACAGUUAACGUUUUUAGUUGUAGCAGCGGUACACUCAGCUACGGGUCAUAGAGCAGACGAGCUCCAGCUAGCUUCGUCGAGGGAUCGUACUACACACACUCUAAGACCGGUAUCAAAGGUUGCAGGUAUAUGUCGUUGAAUUGUACUGUUUUGUACGGGUAACGGUAAUUAACACGGGUAAGAUCAUAUGUUUACAGGUGUCAUACACAACAGCGACGGCAGCAGCAGCGUCAGCAUCAGAUGACAGACUCACACCGGAGAGGAUGGUGGAGCUGAUAUUAUGGAGCUUUGAGUGGACCCGCACUGAUAGAGGCUAGAGACAGUCCAGCAGCAACAGCAAACUUCAAAGGUGUCAUACACAACAGCGACGGCAGCAGCAGCGUCGGUGUCAGAUGACAGACUCGCACCCGAGAGGAUGGCGGAGCUGAUAUUAUGGAGCUACUGGACUCCCGAUCUAGUGUAAGUGGCGCUUCUUCUUGCUAGCGUUAUAAUAAAGCGUUACUAGCACUGCUAACAACUACUAAAACAACAUUUAUCAUUUAACUUUUUAAUUUUACAUGAUUAAAUUUUACAUUGCUCCAUUCUACGUAUUGCUCCAUGUGAUUUGGCUUCGUUGUUUGCUGCUCCUGUUGUAUCAAUGUUUCCAGGGUGAUCGAGUCAUCCCAGAUUGAUUGAGUCAUCC